GGUGGCUCAGUGGUAGAGCACUUGCCUUGCACGCCUGAGGCCCUGGGUUCGAUUCCUCAGUACCA
RNAcentral lists this transfer RNA (65 nucleotides) under Dipodomys ordii (Ord's kangaroo rat). It matches the Rfam family "tRNA". From Rfam's summary of the family: Transfer RNA (tRNA) molecules are approximately 80 nucleotides in length. Their secondary structure includes four short double-helical elements and three loops (D, anti-codon, and T loops). Further hydrogen bonds mediate the characteristic L-shaped molecular structure. tRNAs have two regions of fundamental functional importance: the anti-codon, which is responsible for specific mRNA codon recognition, and the 3' end, to which the tRNAs corresponding amino acid is attached (by aminoacyl-tRNA synthetases). tRNAs cope with the degeneracy of the genetic code in two manners: having more than one tRNA (with a specific anti-codon) for a particular amino acid; and 'wobble' base-pairing, i.e. permitting non-standard base-pairing at the 3rd anti-codon position. The record is from Rfam by way of RNAcentral. Lineage: Eukaryota; Metazoa; Chordata; Mammalia; Rodentia; Heteromyidae.